GGCUCAGAUUGAACGCUGGCGGCAUGCCUUACACAUGCAAGUCGAACGGCAGCACGGGAGCUUGCUCCUGGUGGCGAGUGGCGAACGGGUGAGUAAUACAUCGGAACGUACCCUGAAGUGGGGGAUAACGUAGCGAAAGUUACGCUAAUACCGCAUAUUCUGUGAGCAGGAAAGAGGGGGAUCGCAAGACCUCUUGCUUUAGGAGCGGCCGAUGUCGGAUUAGCUAGUUGGUGAGGUAAAGGCUCACCAAGGCGACGAUCCGUAGCGGGUCUGAGAGGAUGAUCCGCCACACUGGGACUGAGACACGGCCCAGACUCCUACGGGAGGCAGCAGUGGGGAAUUUUGGACAAUGGGCGCAAGCCUGAUCCAGCCAUGCCGCGUGAGUGAAGAAGGCCUUCGGGUUGUAAAGCUCUUUCGGUGGGGAAGAAAUUGCUUCGGUUAAUACCUGGAGUAGAUGACGGUACCCGCAUAAGAAGCACCGGCUAACUACGUG
This 493-nucleotide ribosomal RNA is filed under the name uncultured bacterium. RNAcentral describes it as "bacterial SSU rRNA". It matches the Rfam family "Bacterial small subunit ribosomal RNA", at positions 21 to 507 of the family's 1533-position model. The record is from RNAcentral.